UCACAUAUUUCAAUAACAACUAAUCCUGAAAAUACAAAGCCUACAUUUGAAAGAAUGUAUUUCAGACUUGGUGCACAGAAAGAUGGAUUUCUAGCAGGGUGUAGACCAAUAAUAGGACUAGAUGGUUGUCAUUUGAAAGGGAUUUUUGGUGGGUAGCUACUCUGUGUUAUUGGCAGAGAUGGAAAUGCUAACAUGUCUCCUAUUGCAGUGGCUUUGGUUAAGAUAGAAUGUAAAGCCUCUUGGUCUUGGUUUCUUCAAGAAUUGAUGAGUGAUAUUGGGAGUGUUGAGGAGAUGGGGUGGAAAUUUAUAUCAAAUAGAUAGAAGGGGUUGGUUGAAACAUUUGCAGAGUUAUACUCUACUGCAAAUCACAAAUACUACUUGAGACAUGUGUAUAGUAACUUCAAGACAAAAUACAGUAGUUGUGUGUUGAAAGACCUGUUUUGGAAAGCUGCAUCAACUAGAAAUGUGCAUGAAUUCAAUUAUUGGAUGAAGAAGAUUGAAGAAACUGAUCCUAAGACUGAAAAUAGGAAGACAACUAUGGAGUGGUUGAGGGAGACUGACCCUACUUUGUGGGCAAGGUCACAUUUUUCUUCAAGGAGCAAGCAUGACAUCCUUGUAAACAAUUUGAGCGAGUCAUUCAAUUCUUACAUUUUAGAAGCUAGAGAGCUACCAAUAAUCUCCAUGUUUGAAUGGAUCAAAAGGAAAUUGAUGCAAAUGAUUCAAGUAAAAAAGGCUGGAAUGGCAAAUACAGUGGUGAAAUUUGUCCUAAUAUUCAUGACAAACUUUAGAAGUUGAAGGUAGAAUCAAGAAACUGCUUUGUAACCUGGUGUGGACAAUUGGAAUUUGAGGUUGAUCAUUUUCAGAGGAAGUACAUAGAGGACCUAAGUACUAGGACAUGCAGUUGCAAGAGAUGGGAUUUGUCUGGUUUGUCUUGUAGUCAUGUCAUCAGUGCAAUUCAAAUCAAUCAUGAGUAGCCAGAAGCCUAUGUGCAUGAGUAUUACAGCAAGUCUAGGCACUUGGAUACUUAUGCAUUCACGAUACACCCAGUUCCAGACAUGUAUGAGUAUGAGGAAGGUGGCCAGAAAUUAAAUCCACCAGAAGCAAAGAAAUUACCAGGCAGACCAAAGAAGUUAUGAAACAGACAAGUAGAUGAGCCAAGAAAUCCACACAAGGCAUCAAGGAAGAACAUCAAUGUCACGUGUGCUAAGUGUCUGCAUAAGGGGUACAAUCAGAGGUCAUACAAGAACAAACGGCAUCCUAAGUCCAAAUUGGUAAAGAGAUGUAUUACUGGUCAAUCAUCUCAACCUGUAUCAACUCCUACUCUUGCUCCUACUCCAUCAACAAACAUCCCAUCAAAUGAGAUGUCCAGUAACAUCCAAACUAGAAGAGGAGGCCAAGCAGCAUCUCAGCCACCAAUGAGUACUACUUCUAUUGGACUGAAGAUGAGGAGUACUAGGUCAUCCACUCAGCCCACAAAACUACCAACCAAUGGUGGAAAGACAUCAAGUGGUCCUGACAAAGGACCUAAAAUCACCAUUGGUGGGAGGGGUAGAGGUAGAGGACCAAUUAAUGCAUCUGCAUCUACAGUCAAGGUUGGAAGAACUGGAGUGAAUGCUAAUGUCAGAGGGCAUACUGUUUCAGUAACUUCUAUACUAGAGACAAUCAAAGCAAGGCGGCUGCACAAAGAACUGACAACUGGGUCAAAGUAGACUAUACUUAUAGUUAUGAUUUUUGUAAUGAAACAAUACUUAUAGUUAUGGUUUUUGCAUGUAGAGUUAUGUUUUGUAUUUAGAGUUAUGGUUUUUGUAUUUGAGCUAUGUUUUGUAUUGAGAAUUAUUGUUUUUUAGAAUGGUUUUCAAAUGCAACAAACUUCUGUAAAUGGAUUGGUAUUGAAUAGCA
Camellia sinensis is the source of this 1899-nucleotide non-coding RNA. NCBI's taxonomy places the organism in Eukaryota, Viridiplantae, Streptophyta, Magnoliopsida, Ericales, Theaceae. The record is from RefSeq and is a predicted model, not a curated record.